Molecule: ribosomal RNA, 253 nt
Filed under: uncultured bacterium
Lineage: Bacteria
Description: partial 16S ribosomal RNA
Rfam family: Bacterial small subunit ribosomal RNA
Source: RNAcentral
UACGGAUGGUGCGAGCGUUGUUCGGAAUUACUGGGCGUAAAGGGCGCGUAGGCGGCCUAUUAAGUCAGAUGUGAAAUCCCACGGCUCAACCGUGGAAGUGCAUCUGAAACUGGUAGGCUUGAGUAUCGGAGAGGAAAGUGGAAUUCCCGGUGUAGAGGUGAAAUUCGUAGAGAUCGGGAGGAAUACCGGUGGCGAAGGCGACUUCCUGGGCCAAUACUGACGCUGAGGUGCGAAAGCGUGGGGAGCAAACAGG